This 912-nucleotide ribosomal RNA is filed under the name Triticum aestivum (bread wheat). RNAcentral describes it as "partial small subunit ribosomal RNA". The record is from RNAcentral. Lineage: Eukaryota; Viridiplantae; Streptophyta; Magnoliopsida; Poales; Poaceae.
AUGACGGAUGGGCUCGCGUUGUGUGCUUGUUGCCUAGGUUCUUUGUCCCUGCGUGUAGGAAGUAUUGGCCAAUCUGCUCCACGCGUUCCGCAUCCAAUCCUACCCUCGCCUCGUCCCACUCCCACUUCAGCCGCCAGACAAACCCUAGCUCCCUUUCCUAUCCACACAACCUCUUCCUCCCCGCAUCACCACAGCUGCCGCUGUGGAGCCUCGCGGACGCCUGCUAUUACUCCUCCCUCGUCUCUGUCUGGUCGCCCUCUCGUGCUCCACCAUGCAGCCGCCUCUUCCUCCUCUAUUCCCUCCUACCGUGGUUCCGGAUCGGGUGCAGGCCGUCAUACUGGAGAGCAUGAGCGUCAAGGUCUUAAUGGUGGGGUGGAGAUGCAGGGGAGGGGUUGCAAGAGAAGGAGCUCAAGUUGGUUCACGGUUUGCCUUUGCAUCCUCUCUACCCACUUCCCUCACUCACGCCUCCCCCUUUUCUCAUGGAUGAGGGCUCGGCUGCAGGUUUGGGAUGGAAUUGUUGGAUAUCCAAAUGUUUGUGAAUUAUCCUUGAUUAAUUGCUUGCUAAAACAAAGAAUGCAUCCAGCAGCACCUCGACCAGGUGUCACAAGAGAACUGAACAGAUUGAGAACUCAAGAAGUAGAACAACUGUGUUUCACUUCUUCAGAUGAUUAUAUGAAGGAUGGAAGCUUCGAAUGGCUAGCAGAACCGAGGCCGCAGGGACACCGUCGCAUUGAGGUAGUGCCAUGGCCUGCCACAGGCUUUGACUCGGUGUUGCGUGAUGGAAGAGCAGUGGUAAAGUUCGACAGCAUUGAAGCGAGAUGUGAGAUCCCAGCGCUCCAAAUGAUGGGUCGUGGCCGUUGGAGGGCCAACAGAGGACAAGGGCUAACAACCGGUGGUGGAGGGAGAGUCUGA